RNAcentral lists this ribosomal RNA (111 nucleotides) under Acanthosepion pharaonis. Lineage: Eukaryota; Metazoa; Mollusca; Cephalopoda; Sepiida; Sepiidae. The record is from RNAcentral.
UUACGGUCAAAUCACGCUGAAAACACCGGUUCUCGUUCGAUCACCGAAGUUAAGCAUCCGUUUUAGGUCAGUACUAUGGGGGACCGAUUGGGAACACCUGGUACUGUAAGC